Aethalodelphis obliquidens (Pacific white-sided dolphin) is the source of this 3512-nucleotide long non-coding RNA. RefSeq lists it as uncharacterized. The record is from RefSeq and is a predicted model, not a curated record. The transcript has 3 exons. NCBI's taxonomy places the organism in Eukaryota, Metazoa, Chordata, Mammalia, Artiodactyla, Delphinidae.
CCUAUGAUCUCUUCUAGGAGUUUUAUGGUAUCAUGUCUUAUAUUUAAGUCUUUAAGCCAUUUUGAGUUUAUGUUUGUGUAUGGUGAGAGAGCACGUUCUAACCUCAUUGAUUUGCAUGUGGCUGAGACCAUUCCUCUUAUAGAUAUUUGACUGCAUUUCUUCUUAUUUUAAUUUUUAUUCCUUGAUUUUAUCUUUCAUGGAUCUCACCUCAAAUCCUUCUGUAUACUCUGGUGGGAUGACUAAUAUCCUUGGAACUUAAAAUAUUUGGCAUAUUUAAACUUAAAUUCAAAUUCCCCCAUUUCCAAAUUGCAUAAGCUUGCAGAAGGUAUUUACCCUUCUCUAAGUCUCCAUUUUCUAAUCUAUAAAAUGAUGAUGAUAAUUCGUUUCUCACAGAGUUCCUAUGAAUAAAUGAGAUAUCAUUUCUGGCUUUUAAGUCAAUAAAUGCUAGUAUCGAUUGAUCGUUUACCCCGUGAUAAUUUACUCCUCUUGGAAUCACACUAUUUGGAUAGGAUACAUUUUUAACCUUUUUUUUUUUUUAAUAAGAAGGUGACAUUAUUGAUCUGCUAUCAGCAGAAGAUUCUAUUUAUUUCCUAAAGAAGGGAGAAGGGAUGGAUUUGCAUCAAGUCAUUUACAUUUGCGUCUCAGGACCUCUACAAAUAGCGCCCAUGCUCUCCAAUACUUUAUCCAGCAACAGUUUACCUGACAUCAGCAAUUAAUAUAAUUAACCUUUUAGAAUUUUGCCAAAUUGAAUAGACAGAAUGAUUCCAGACUCCAAGAAAAGGGUUAAGCAUGAGUAAAUUUGGGUUGCAUUGGUACCACCAUCAGUAGCAUCCAGUCAGUCCAGACAAUCUUUUACUGAAGAUUGUCUUCACUUAGCUUUUUCAAGUGGAUACAGUGGCCUUGUAUAAAGCAGGUACAGUUAGCUUAACAGUAGUGAAAAAUUGUUCACCCUACCCAAUAAGCUGUAGAGUGUGUGGUGAUUUCCAGUUCCAGGAACUACUUUAAAUGAAAAUGGCUCCUUUUGAGUAAGACACAUGGGAGAUGUUAGGUGGGGUUUGACCUACAAAGGGUUAACACAUCAAAAUUAAUUUUGGAGGAAAAUUAAGAUUCUCCUCACAGUCUCAAGGCUUUCUUCUCUAACCACAGUGCAGACACUAUCAGUGAGCAGAGAAUCUCUGUAUUAUUUCCAAGUUUCUCCCAUUGUCAGUCACUGUGACAAAGUGCUGGCCAAUUUGACACAAUGAUGAAUCACUCCAGACACUGAGUUUUCAUAUGGCUCUUGAAGCUUCUCAGGAGACUCCGGUGUCUGGAAAUGCCACAGACCAGCACUGGGUGCUCUGCUCAGGAACAAAGCCGGGACUUGGCAAAAAUUAAACCAACGCAUUUUAGAGAAAAGAGAUAGAUGAUGCUAGCAGCCCUGCCCUGUGAAGUCUUUAAAGUACAUUUGCAAGAAGAAACAAACAAACAAACAAAAACCAUGAUUUAUCCGGUCCUCGGGAGGGCUAAUGUUAAUCACAAUGAACCUAAGACAGAAGCACUGGAUUUUGCAGACUGUGGAGAUUAAGUCAGAAGCAAGGAAUUACUGAGAGAGAUGAUGGAGAUUUUGCUAAAUUGAAAACAAAAGUCAAAGCAAAUUCAUAAAAAAGCUGGGAAGUAAAAUCAAUCAUUAUUCAAAGUCCUCCUUUUAAGCUCUAUCCGCACAUUGAAUUUUGGUUUAGGGGUCUCUGGUUGGAGCAGAGGGUUGCUUGAGUGAGUUUAGAAGGUGGCAUCUGUUUAAGUAACAGAUGUCUGUGUCACUGAGGUGCUAUGUUCUCACUUUUUAUAUAUGGGGAAACUGCUGCUGAAAGAGUUUUAUUGCCUUUAUGCAAAUUAAAAUACCAUAUUCUUCUCCUUAAAGGGUUCCUCUUCCUGAUGUGAAUACACAACAACCAUAAACGACCUCAACCUCAUCAAUUUUUUUAAAAACUAUUUUGGAAUACGAUAGUUUCUUAUGAACUAUCAAUGAUGCAUGAAAUGAGGUCUGGAACUGCAGACAUGCGUACUCUUAUUUAAAGAGGGCUCACUGGGUUGAAGCAAACUGAGUAGGGAGAGAUGAGGAAGAGUGAAGUCAUCCAAAAACACCCUCCAAGUUGACACACAGAAUUAACCAUCACAAAUAACAUGGGAAGUAUGCAUAAAAAACUGCAUUUCUGCCACGCCCUGAAGGACGGUGGUUAUCCUGAAACAAAGCACUUGUGCAACUGUUUGAGUUGCAAGCUGAACUACUCAUUUCAUUCAUGAAUGCCAUUUUUACUUGAAAGUAUGAAAGAAAGACAAACUAUGGUUAUUCAGAUCUGGGUAUUUGGGAAACAUCAUGAAAAUGAAUUAAAUCUAUCACUGCAAGGAUAUUUUUUGCCAGUGAUAAAAUUCAGGCUUUCAAGUGAAAACCUGAAUUUUGGAAAGCCUGUAUCCAUCUCCAUGAUCUUGCCAGCUUCCCAAUAUUUUUCUAAUGAGUUUGGUGGUAUUACAAAUAAACGUCAGUUUUUGAUACUGUAUGAUGAAAUUCGUGAACAUUUGAAAGAUCUGUGUAACUCAGUGAACCAAUAUUUUCCAAGUUAUCAAUACCUGAUGUUACAGAAUGAUGCAUAGUGAAAAGAUCCAUUCAAAGUACGAGAUGAUGAGAAAGGAAAAUGGAGCUGUAGGAAUCAGGCUCCCUGACUUCACUAUACUACAAAGCUACAGUCAUCAAAGUGCAAGAUGAGUUAAUGGAUUGUAACAGAAGAGAAUAAGAAAAGUCCAUUGAUAUGGAUUCAGCUUCCACACACAGCUAGCCUUUAAGAAACUACUACUUGUUGAGUUUUGGUGUACCAUCAAAAAAAAAAGAGUAUGUUUUACAAUAAUCUAGAAAGGCAGAAUUCUCCUUACUUUUCCAACUACAUGUCUGUCUGAGCACAGAAUUUCUUCAUAUAUUUCUGCAAAAACAACAUAAAACAGAUUGAAUGCAGAAGCAGAUAUGGGAAUCCAGCCAUCCUCUAUGAAGCCAAACAUCAACAAGAUUUAUACUCACAGAGAUAGGUCUUCAGAUACUAUUGAGUUGAUUGGCUUAUUAAAAUAAACCUGGAAGACCUUUUGUCCAAAUUAUCUUCUUAUGGACAAUUAUAGAAAUUAAAGCGACUUCACCGGCUCAUGGGAGUCUCGUAUUUUCUAAGAACAAUUGAUCCUACACCCACAGAAAUCAUGUAGCUGUGGUAAAUCAAAUAUUCCCAGGUAUCAGCAACCUAGUCCUAGGGAGGACAAAUGAACUUUAAGGCACUACCAGGUUCAUUUAGCCCCUCUUGCCUACUUCAGAACCUCAGCAUACCUUCUUCUGGUCCUGCACUUCUCCCACCCUACCAGUGUUUCUGAAAUCAUCAAAGUGUUUUUCACAAAUGUAUGUGAAUCAGUUAGUCCACUGGGAGCCUCUUGCCCUGCUCUGUGUAGCUCAAGCCAGAGCCAAUAUUCUGUAUGCUUUCCCUCAGGCUACUUAAAAUGAG